CUACAUUUUUACUGUAGCUUCAGGGAAGAGAAGUGUCUGUCUCAUCUUGGCUGGAGUUCUGAGAUUAUUUAAAUUCAAAGUUCAGGAGGAACAACAUAUAAAUCCAGAGAACACAGGAGAUCUGAGAAUGAAGCUCACUCAGACAGAUCCGGGAAAAUUUGUCGGGCAACUGAAUUCAGCUGCAAAGGAAGAAGGUCGCUGAUAGAAACAUGGUCUUAUGGAAGAAACAGAGCCCCUGGGAGGGAAAUCCCCAUAAGGAAUGAAGCGAGGACUGUUCAACAACCGUACCUACAUCUUUGAGGCAAAGGGUGAUUUCUGGAUAAAACAUGAUGGCGAACAGUGCAAAGGAAACAGUCAACAAAACAAAGAGGCAACCCACGGAAUGGGAGAAGAUAUUCGUAAAUUACAGUACAGACGAAGGGCUGAUACCCAGGAUCUAUAAAGAACUUCUCAAACUCAACCCACACAAAACAGAUAAUCAUGUCAAAAAAUGGGCAGAAGACAUGAGCAGACACUUCUCCAAAGAAGACAUACAAAGGCUAACAGACACAUGAAAAAAUGUUCAUCAUCAUUAGCCCUCAGAGAGAUUCAAAUCAAAACCACAUUGAAAUACCACCUCACACCAGUUAGAAUGGCCAAAAUCAACAGGACAGGAGACAACAAGUGUUGGAGAGGAUGUGGAGAAAGGGGAACCCUCUUACACUGUUGGUGGGAAUGCAAGUUGGUGCAGCCACUUUGGAAAACACUGUGGAGAUUCCUUAAGAAAUUAAAAAUAGAACUACCCUAGACCCUGCAAUUGCACUUCUGGGUAUUUACCCCAAAGAUACAGAUGUAGUGAAAAGAAGGACCAUCUGUACCCCAGUGUUCAUAGCAGCAAUGACCACAGUCACAAAACUGUGGAAAGAACCAAGAUGCCCUUCAAUGGACGAAUGGAUAAAGAAGAUAUGGUCUAGGGGCACCUGGGUGGCUCAGUAGGUUAAGCCUCUGCCUUUGGCUCAGGUCAUGAUCUCAGGGUCCUGGGAUCGAGCCUCACAUCAGGCUCUCUGCUCAGGGGGGAGCCUGCUUCCCCUUUUCUCUCUGCCUGCCUCUCUGCCUACUUAUGAUCUCUGUCAAAUAAAUAAAUAAAAUCUUUUUUAAAAAAGAUAUGGUCCAUAUAUAUAAUGGAGGAUUAUGCCUCUAUCAGAAAGGAUGAAUACCUAACUUUUGUAUCAACAUGGACAGGACUGGAAGAGAUUAUGCUGAGUGAAAUAAGUCAAGCAGAAAGAGUCAGUUAUCAUAUGGUUUCACUUACUUGUGGAGCAUAACGAAUAACACGGAGGACAUUGGGAGUUGAAGAGGCGAAGUGAGUUGGGGGAAAUCGGAGGGGGAGAUGAACCAUGAGAGACUGUGGACUCUGAGAAACAAACUGAGGGUUUUGGAGGGGAGGGGAGUGGGGGGUUGGGUGAGCCUGGUGGUGGGUAUUAUGGAGGGCAC
Long non-coding RNA from Mustela lutreola (European mink), 1473 nucleotides. RefSeq lists it as uncharacterized. The transcript is spliced from 3 exons. The record is from RefSeq and is a predicted model, not a curated record. Lineage: Eukaryota; Metazoa; Chordata; Mammalia; Carnivora; Mustelidae.